UUUCUGUCAGCAAACGAAAUUCUUCGGCUAAAGGAGACGAGCAACUUACAAACAAAAAUAAAAUAAAAAUAAAGUAGAUAGAACUGGGGCUAGAAAAAAAAUUGGGAAAUGAAAAGAUGAAUACACAUUCCGUUUCACAUAUCAUAUGUGUAAUUCGGAAUAGGACGCAUUUUUUUUAAAUAAAAAAAAAUAUAAUAAGAUGUUCAAAUGUUGGAACAGAAUCCAUUUAUUAAAUCAAAUUUACAAGAUAAAAUUUUGAAAGCGUUAUGCUCAGCUCUGUUCGUGUAACGCACUGUAGGAACUGAAUAAUUCAUUUAAGGAUGUAAUCCCCUCUAAUGAUAACUGGAUCAGUGUCGCGAAAGUUAAGACAACCCCUACAUUUUCUACCAUCAUUUGAUCUUCUUCAGACUAGCGAAUGCAAGUGUCGAGAUACCGGCAAGCACUUAAAGGGAUUCAAGUGCAAUACUGACAUCCUAAGACAAGCACAAGCUGCGCCGUGAAGAAGGCAAGAGAAGCAAAAAAACGUAGAGGAAGUCCGGCCAGAUUCGUUCCUGGAACUGUUGCGGCGUCGGUUGUGGAAAUCCUGUCACUGCCAUAAGGACUGGCCUAGGCCAGAUUCGUUCCUGGAACUGUUGCGGCGU
Molecule: long non-coding RNA, 641 nt
Organism: Daphnia magna
Lineage: Eukaryota; Metazoa; Arthropoda; Branchiopoda; Diplostraca; Daphniidae
Exons: 3
Source: RefSeq, a predicted model, not a curated record